This 248-nucleotide ribosomal RNA is filed under the name uncultured Actinomycetales bacterium. RNAcentral describes it as "partial 16S ribosomal RNA". It matches the Rfam family "Bacterial small subunit ribosomal RNA", at positions 83 to 334 of the family's 1533-position model. The record is from RNAcentral. Lineage: Bacteria; Bacillati; Actinomycetota; Actinomycetes; Actinomycetales.
CAGGGUACUCGAGUGGCGAACGGGUGAGUAACACGUGGGUGAUCUGCCCUGCACUUCGGGAUAAGCUUGGGAAACUGGGUCUAAUACCGGAUAGGAACCAUCUUUAGUGUUGUGGUUGGAAAGUUUUUUCGGUGUAGGAUGAGCUCGCGGCCUAUCAGCUUGUUGGUGGGGUAAUGGCCUACCAAGGCGGCGACGGGUAGCCGGCCUGAGAGGGUGUACGGCCACAUUGGGACUGAGAUACGGCCCAG